CUGAAUCCAUAGGUUAAUGAGGCGAACCGGGGGAACUGAAACAUCUAAGUACCCCGAGGAAAAGAAAUCAACCGAGAUUCCCCCAGUAGCGGCGAGCGAACGGGGAGGAGCCCAGAGCCUGAAUCAGAGUGUGUGUUAGUGGAAGCGUCUGGAAAGGCGCGCGAUACAGGGUGACAGCCCCGUACACAAAAAUGCACAUAUUGUGAGCUCGAUGAGUAGGGCGGGACACGUGGUAUCCUGUCUGAAUAUGGGGGG
This 255-nucleotide ribosomal RNA is filed under the name Shigella sonnei. Its description in RNAcentral is "partial 23S ribosomal RNA". It matches the Rfam family "Bacterial large subunit ribosomal RNA", at positions 158 to 451 of the family's 2925-position model. Lineage: Bacteria; Pseudomonadati; Pseudomonadota; Gammaproteobacteria; Enterobacterales; Enterobacteriaceae. The record is from RNAcentral.